GAUGAAGAACGCAGCGAAAUGCGAUAAGUAGUGUGAAUUGCAGAAUUCAGUGAAUCAUCGAAUCUUUGAACGCACAUUGCGCCCCAUGGUAUUCCGUGGGGCAUGCCUGUUCGAGCGUCAUUUACCCCCUCAAGCUCCGCUUGGUGUUGGGCGUCUGUCCCGCUUCGCGCGCGGACUCGCCCCAAAGGUAUUGGCAGCGGUCGUGCCAGCUUCUCGCGCAGCACAUUGCGCUUCUCGAGGCACCGGUGGGCCCGCGUCCAUCAGGCUCACCCCCCCAGUUUGACCUCGGAUCAGGUAGGGAUACCCGCUGAACUUAAGCAUAUCAAUAAGCGGAGGA
Molecule: unclassified non-coding RNA, 337 nt
Filed under: soil metagenome
Description: partial contains 5.8S ribosomal RNA, internal transcribed spacer 2, and large subunit ribosomal RNA
Rfam family: 5.8S ribosomal RNA (bases 1-120)
Source: RNAcentral